UACGGGGGGGGCAAGCGUUGUUCGGAAUUACUGGGCGUAAAGGGCUCGUAGGCGGCCAACUAAGUCGGAUGUGAAAUCCCCAGGCUCAACUUGGGAACUGCAUCCGAUACUGGAUGGCUUGAAUUCGGGAGAGGGAUGCAGAAUUCCAGGUGUAGCGGUGAAAUGCGCAGAUAUCAGGAGGAACACCGGUGGCGAAGGCGGAUCUCUGGGCCUGUCCUGACGCUCAGGCGCGAAAGCUAGGGGAGCAAACAGG
RNAcentral lists this ribosomal RNA (253 nucleotides) under uncultured bacterium. RNAcentral's name for it is "partial 16S ribosomal RNA". It matches the Rfam family "Bacterial small subunit ribosomal RNA", at positions 524 to 776 of the family's 1533-position model. The record is from RNAcentral.